AAAGUCAAAUUUAGUAUUUUUGACUGUUACAUUGAUCACAUUUCUUGGUCUUGCCAAAGGAACAAUAAUAUCUCCACCUGAUGGUCAAAAAUUUGUAUUUUUGCCUGGAUCUUCUCACGAUAUAACUUGGACAUUAUAUAAUACUGGAAACUUUAUUUUUCGGAGCUGGACCUUUAGGACAUUUGACACUCCUUCUUCUGCAGCUCAAGUAAUUGUAAGAAUAAUUGAUGA
Xenia sp. Carnegie-2017 is the source of this 231-nucleotide long non-coding RNA. RefSeq lists it as uncharacterized. The record is from RefSeq and is a predicted model, not a curated record. Lineage: Eukaryota; Metazoa; Cnidaria; Anthozoa; Malacalcyonacea; Xeniidae. The transcript has 2 exons.